GAUGAAGAACGUAGCGAAAUGCGAUACGUAAUGUGAAUUGCAGAAUUCAGUGAAUCAUCGAAUCUUUGAACGCACAUUGCGCCCGCUAGUAUUCUGGCGGGCAUGCCUGUCCGAGCGUCAUUUCAACCCUCAAGCCCCCGGGCUUGGUGUUGGGGAUCGGCGAGCCUCCGCGCCCGCCGUCCCCUAAAUCUAGUGGCGGUCUCGCUGUAGCUUCCUCUGCGUAGUAGCACACCUCGCACUGGGAAACAGCGCGGCCACGCCGUUAAACCCCCAACUUCUGAACGUUUGACCUCGGAUCAGGUAGGAAUACCCGCUGAACUUAAGCAUAUAAUAAGCGGAGGA
RNAcentral lists this unclassified non-coding RNA (342 nucleotides) under soil metagenome. RNAcentral's name for it is "partial contains 5.8S ribosomal RNA, internal transcribed spacer 2, and large subunit ribosomal RNA". The stretch from base 1 to 120 matches the Rfam family "5.8S ribosomal RNA", at positions 35 to 154 of the family's 154-position model. The record is from RNAcentral.